GGCCCGGUGGCUCAGCUGGUUAGAGCGCCGCCCUGUCACGGCGGAGGUCGUCGGUUCGAUCCCGAUCCGGGUCGC
RNAcentral lists this transfer RNA (75 nucleotides) under Fusicatenibacter saccharivorans. Its description in RNAcentral is "tRNA-Asp(gtc)". It matches the Rfam family "tRNA". From Rfam's summary of the family: Transfer RNA (tRNA) molecules are approximately 80 nucleotides in length. Their secondary structure includes four short double-helical elements and three loops (D, anti-codon, and T loops). Further hydrogen bonds mediate the characteristic L-shaped molecular structure. tRNAs have two regions of fundamental functional importance: the anti-codon, which is responsible for specific mRNA codon recognition, and the 3' end, to which the tRNAs corresponding amino acid is attached (by aminoacyl-tRNA synthetases). tRNAs cope with the degeneracy of the genetic code in two manners: having more than one tRNA (with a specific anti-codon) for a particular amino acid; and 'wobble' base-pairing, i.e. permitting non-standard base-pairing at the 3rd anti-codon position. Lineage: Bacteria; Bacillati; Bacillota; Clostridia; Lachnospirales; Lachnospiraceae. The record is from RNAcentral.